Molecule: ribosomal RNA, 250 nt
Filed under: uncultured bacterium
Lineage: Bacteria
Description: partial 16S ribosomal RNA
Rfam family: Bacterial small subunit ribosomal RNA
Source: RNAcentral
UACGUAGGGGGCGAGCGUUGUCCGGAAUUAUUGGGCGUAAAGGGCGCGUAGGCGGAGAGAUGUGUCGUGUGUGAAAACCACAGGCUUAACUUGUGAUUGCACAUGAAACUGUCUCCCUUGAGUGCAGGAGAGGAAAGCGGAAUUCCCAGUGUAGCGGUGAAAUGCGUAGAUAUUGGGAGGAACACCAGUGGCGAAGGCGGCUUUCUGGACUGUAACUGACGCUGAGGCGCGAAAGCGUGGGGAGCAAACA